UACGUAGGUGACAAGCGUUGUCCGGAUUUACUGGGCGUAAAGAGCGCGCAGGCGGUCGUUCAAGUCGGGUGUGAAAGCCCCCGGCUCAACUGGGGAGGGUCAUUCGAUACUGAUCGACUUGAAGGCAGGAGAGGGAAGUGGAAUUCCCGGUGUAGAGGUGAAAUUCGUAGAUAUCGGGAGGAACACCGGUGGCGAAGGCGGCGACCUGGGUCGACACUGACGCUGAGGCGCGAAAGCGUGGGGAGCGAACAGG
RNAcentral lists this ribosomal RNA (253 nucleotides) under uncultured bacterium. Its description in RNAcentral is "partial 16S ribosomal RNA". It matches the Rfam family "Bacterial small subunit ribosomal RNA", at positions 524 to 776 of the family's 1533-position model. The record is from RNAcentral.